Amphiprion ocellaris (clown anemonefish) is the source of this 1657-nucleotide long non-coding RNA. RefSeq lists it as uncharacterized. NCBI's taxonomy places the organism in Eukaryota, Metazoa, Chordata, Actinopteri, Pomacentridae. The transcript is spliced from 3 exons. The record is from RefSeq and is a predicted model, not a curated record.
UACAAAACUACCAAAAUCUAGUAAAAUAUUAUGGCAGGCUGAGUGACAUGGCAGUUUUGUUUGAGUUUCACUAUGUUGCCGUGAUGGGUAGUAAUGCACUACAUUUCUCUAUUACAUGUACUUGUGUAUUUCUUUUAUAAAUUGUAUUUGUAAGAGUAGUUUCAUUAGAAUACUUGUGAUUAAAUGUAUGUACUUUUACUCAGGGAUAUUUGGGCACUUUUUCGCACUGUGAAAUUUAAUUAAUGUUCCGUUUCUUAUCACACGAGUGAAAAUUAAAACUGUAUUCCUUUUUUUAAUGCAAAUAAUUAAUUAUUCAGUUAUUAAAAUAAUCAUUAGUUGCAGCCGUUGCACACUGUUUUCAGGGGUUAAAGAAAAUUCCUCAUUAUAGUAUAAUAUUGUGGUAUUGUAUUUUUAUUGGUCAUACAUUCAUAAGUUUAGGUAUCUUUAUAAGAUACCUGUGCAAAAUCUGUGUAAUAUUUUGGCUUUUAUUUUCACAGAGCCAUAAUGUCAAAAAGGAAGAACAGGAUACAGCCUGUUGAUGAUGCAACAUCAUAUAUUCUGUCUUCGAGGGACAAGCCUGGAUUUAUAGAAAGAUUUAUUAAUAGUAACAAAGGUAUGGGACAGUGAAUCUUUGCAUGUUACACCACACAGUUGCACAGUAUAAAAUAUCUACAGUAGUAUUUAUAUAAACAAGCCUCUCUCACACAUACACAACAGAGGAAAACCGCUGAAUCCCCAGCUGGUAUUCCUCCGAUGUUGCUGUUUCACACAUGCAACACACAACAGAAGACUUUUCUGCCAGAGAGUAUUUAUGAGCUGUGGGUCAUUUUUUUAUUAGAAAAGUUUAGACAACUAAGUGUUUCUUCAAUUAAAUGUGUAUUUAAUUAUGUCCUCAUAGGAAGAGGAGUGUUUGUUACCCAGCCCAUUGAACCAGGAGCUUUCCUCUUGGAAUACAGAGGUGAACUCUUAUCAGUUGAAGAAUGCUGGUCCAGACACUACUCGGAGAAACAGAGUACAUUUCUGUUUGAAUUUGAAUGGGAAAAACGUCGCUGGGGUAUUGAUGCAUCAAAAGAAGACGGCUCUCUUGGAAGAUUAGUGAAUGACAAUCACAGAUCUCCAAAUUGCAUCAUGAAAAAAAUCAUAGUAAACAACACACCACAUAUGUGUCUAUUUGCUGUGAAAAAAAUAGAAAUCGGAUCUGAAAUUGAGUACAACUACGGUGAUUGGCGUAAAAUGGUACUUUGUUUUUGCUAAUUUGUGUAAAAAUGUGUUGCAAAAGUAAAAAUUGGUGAACUAGUGCACGACAGCUACUGUUUUAUGUCUGUCUCCAUAAUGCAUUGUGACUUGUUGAUAAGCAUUCAGCUAAACUUUAAAAAAAUGUCAUAUUUCUGAAAAAGAGCAAAUUGUGUCUGUCAGCAUGUAGUGUUUUAUUGUUUGUAUCUGAAUUCCAGCAAACAAACAAGCAGACUUCUCCUGUGGCAGCAAAUCGAGAUGUCCCCCAUAGAUGGUGCUUUGCAUGAGAAUUCAAACCAGAAUGAUGCUUGUGCACAGGUAACAAACAAGAUGGCUUCUGCUGUGGCAGUAGAGCCUGAGAUGUCCCCCAUACAUGGUGCUUCACAUGAGGAUUCAGACCAAGAUGAUGCUCAUGCACAGGUAA